RNAcentral lists this ribosomal RNA (1011 nucleotides) under Pleosporales sp. Its description in RNAcentral is "SSU rRNA". It matches the Rfam family "Eukaryotic small subunit ribosomal RNA", at positions 74 to 1096 of the family's 1831-position model. The record is from RNAcentral. Lineage: Eukaryota; Fungi; Ascomycota; Dothideomycetes; Pleosporales.
UUAUACCGUGAAACUGCGAAUGGCUCAUUAAAUCAGUUAUCGUUUAUUUGAUAAUACCUUACUACUUGGAUAACCGUGGUAAUUCUAGAGCUAAUACAUGCUAAAAACCCCGACUUCGGGAGGGGUGUAUUUAUUAGAUAAAAAACCAAUGCCCUCCGGGGCUCCUUGGUGAUUCAUAAUAACUUCUCAGAUCGCAUGGCUCCAUGCCGGCGACGGUUCAUUCAAAUUUCUGCCCUAUCAACUUUCGAUGGUAAGGUAGUGGCUUACCAUGGUUCAACGGGUAACGGGGAAUUAGGGUUCGAUUCCGGAGAGGGAGCUGAGAAACGGCUACCACAUCCAAGGAAGGCAGCAGGCGCGCAAAUUACCCAAUUCCGACAUGGAGAGGUAGUGACAAUAAAUACUGAUACAGGGCUCUUUUGGGUCUUGUAAUUGGAAUGAGUACAAUUUAAACCUCUUAACGAGGAACAAUUGGAGGGCAAGUCUGGUGCCAGCAGCCGCGGUAAUUCCAGCUCCAAUAGCGUAUAUUAAAGUUGUUGCAGUUAAAAAGCUCGUAGUUGAACCUUUGGCCUGGCUGGCAGGUCCGCCUCACCGCGUGCACUUGUCCGGCCGGGCCUUCUCUUCUGGAGAACCGCAUGCCCUUCACUGGGUGUGUUGGGGACCAGGACUUUUACUUUGAAAAAAUUAGAGUGUUCAAAGCAGGCCUUUGCUCGAAUACGUUAGCAUGGAAUAAUAGAAUAGGACGUGCGGUCCUAUUUUGUUGGUUUCUAGGACCGCCGUAAUGAUUAAUAGGGACAGUCGGGGGCAUCAGUAUUCAAUUGUCAGAGGUGAAAUUCUUGGAUUUAUUGAAGACUAACUACUGCGAAAGCAUUUGCCAAGGAUGUUUUCAUUAAUCAGUGAACGAAAGUUAGGGGAUCGAAGACGAUCAGAUACCGUCGUAGUCUUAACCAUAAACUAUGCCGACUAGGGAUCGGGCGGUGUUUCUAUUGUGACCCGCUCGGCACCUUACGAGAA